GGGGAUAGUGCCGGAUCCUGGGCUGUGUCCCUGGUGUCCUGUGCUCCUGGGCCUGCACUGUUGGAUUCGCGCUCUCCACUGGGCAGCCCCCU
Molecule: microRNA precursor, 92 nt
Filed under: Canis lupus familiaris (dog)
Lineage: Eukaryota; Metazoa; Chordata; Mammalia; Carnivora; Canidae
Also listed under: 1 other name
Description: mir-8799 microRNA precursor family
Rfam family: mir-8799 microRNA precursor family
Source: Rfam by way of RNAcentral